This 445-nucleotide ribosomal RNA is filed under the name uncultured bacterium. RNAcentral's name for it is "partial 16S ribosomal RNA". It matches the Rfam family "Bacterial small subunit ribosomal RNA", at positions 354 to 796 of the family's 1533-position model. The record is from RNAcentral.
GUGAGGAAUAUUGGUCAAUGGACGAGAGUCUGAACCAGCCAAGUAGCGUGAAGGAUGACUGCCCUAUGUGUUGUAAACUUCUUUUAUAAGGGAAUAAAGUGAGGGACGUGUCCCUUUUUGUAUGUACCUUAUGAAUAAGGAUCGGCUAACUCCGUGCCAGCAGCCGCGGUAAUACGGAGGAUCCAAGCGUUAUCCGGAUUUAUUGGGUUUAAAGGGAGCGUAGGUUGACAUAUAAGUCAGCUGUGAAAGUUUACGGCUCAACCGUGAAAUUGCAGUUGAUACUGUAUGUCUUGAGUGUACAAGAGGUGGGCGGAAUUCGUGGUGUAGCGGUGAAAUGCUUAGAUAUCACGAAGAACUCCAAUUGCGAAGGCAGCUCACUGGGGUACAACUGACACUGAGGCUCGAAAGUGUGGGUAUCAAACAGGAUUAGAUACCCGUGUAGUCC